AUACGUAGGGUGCGAGCGUUAAUCGGAAUUACUGGGCGUAAAGCGUGCGCAGGCGGUUUUGUAAGCCAGAUGUGAAAUCCCCGGGCUUAACCUGGGAAUGGCAUUUGGGACUGCAAGGCUUGAGUGCGGCAGAGGAGACUGGAAUUCCUGGUGUAGCAGUGAAAUGCGUAGAUAUCAGGAGGAACACCGAUGGCGAAGGCAGGUCUCUGGGCUGACACUGACGCUCAUGCACGAAAGCGUGGGGAGCAAACAGGAUUAGAUACCCUGGUAGUCCACGCCCUAAACGAUGUCGACUGGUUGUUGGGGGUUUGACACUCUCAGUAACGAAGCUAACGCGUGAAGUCGACCGCCUGGGGAGUACGGCCGCAAGGUUAAAACUCAAAUGAAUUGACGGGG
This 396-nucleotide ribosomal RNA is filed under the name uncultured bacterium. Its description in RNAcentral is "partial 16S ribosomal RNA". It matches the Rfam family "Bacterial small subunit ribosomal RNA", at positions 523 to 918 of the family's 1533-position model. The record is from RNAcentral.